Small nucleolar RNA from Magnolia sinica, 86 nucleotides. The record is from RefSeq and is a predicted model, not a curated record. Lineage: Eukaryota; Viridiplantae; Streptophyta; Magnoliopsida; Magnoliales; Magnoliaceae.
UGCAGUCGAUGAUGAAAAUUGUAAUUAGUUGCUGAGCUGGCAAUGAUUAUUCUCUAUUUUAUCACCAUCUUUCGGCUGAGAUUGCA